GUUCCGUAGGUGAACCUGCGGAAGGAUCAUUACAGUAGUCACCCAGGUUGCCGCAAGGCCUCCUGGGUAACCUACCACCCUUUGUUUAUUACACUUUGUUGCUUUGGCAAGCCUGCCCUCGGGCUGCUGGCUCCGGCCGGCGAGCGCUUGCCAGAGGACCUAAACUCUGUUUGUCUAUACUGUCUGAGUACCAUAUAAUAGUUAAAACUUUCAACAACGGAUCUCUUGGUUCUG
Molecule: unclassified non-coding RNA, 234 nt
Filed under: plant metagenome
Description: partial contains small subunit ribosomal RNA, internal transcribed spacer 1, and 5.8S ribosomal RNA
Source: RNAcentral